UACGUAGGUGGCGAGCGUUGUCCGGAAUUACUGGGUGUAAAGGGGGCGUAGGCGGGAGAGCAAGUCGACUGUGAAAUCUAUGGGCUUAACCCAUAGCUGCGAUCGAAACUGUUCAUCUUGAGUGAAGUAGAGGCAGGCGGAAUUCCUAGUGUAGCGGUGAAAUGCGUAAAUAUUAGGAGGAACACCAGUGGCGAAGGCGGCCUGCUGGGCUUUAACUGACGCUGAGGCUCGAAAGCGUGGGUAGCAAACAGG
Molecule: ribosomal RNA, 252 nt
Filed under: uncultured bacterium
Lineage: Bacteria
Description: partial 16S ribosomal RNA
Rfam family: Bacterial small subunit ribosomal RNA
Source: RNAcentral